This is a long non-coding RNA of Diospyros lotus (date-plum), 564 nucleotides long. RefSeq lists it as uncharacterized. NCBI's taxonomy places the organism in Eukaryota, Viridiplantae, Streptophyta, Magnoliopsida, Ericales, Ebenaceae. The transcript is spliced from 3 exons. The record is from RefSeq and is a predicted model, not a curated record.
CUCCGACAAUAACUACAAGCCAACAAGUUGUGAGUUCGUCAACAUCAAACAUUAUGAAGUAAUCGACAUUGUAAAAAGCAGUGGUUCACUAAGUAUUUUGAAGUUGCUAGUGUGAACUAAACAACGCAUCCUAAGCUUAAUUGGGCGAGGCCACGGAAAAAGAAACCUUCUUCUGCCAUGCAGCGUAAGUCCGUGCCUAUCCGCAACUUGUUUGUUGCAAAUUUUUCAUACGAAAUCACGGAUGAGGAUCUUAAGGAGUUUUUCAAUUCUGAUAAUGCCAAUGUUGUUUUUGCGGAAAUUAUAUUUCAUGAAAAUCCAAGGUCUGUUGGGUAUGGAUUUGUAUUCUCCAUUUCCAAGGAGGCUGAAGCUACUCUCACUGCUUUUGAAGGAAAGUUAUGUAUGGGAAGACCAAUUUGAGUGGCUCCUAGCAGAAGAUUUUUGAGACAAGCAACGAAAAUGAGUACUCAAUUGGCGAAUGCGUCAAAUAAACCAAACCCUGAUGCUGAACAAGCAAAAGCCCUUGAAGCUUGAUGGUGAAUUUUCUUGGACAGUUUAGGUUUUUCA